Molecule: long non-coding RNA, 510 nt
Filed under: Taeniopygia guttata (zebra finch)
Lineage: Eukaryota; Metazoa; Chordata; Aves; Passeriformes; Estrildidae
Description: lncRNA (ENSTGUG00000025705.1)
Source: RNAcentral
CAUGCUUAUAUCAUUUUCCAGAAUUGUUAGGCUUCCAUAGGAGACAUUAUCUCUGAAACACUGGUGUUGCAUAGAAAUUUCAUUAUAUGUGAUUUUAAUGAGCAGAUUUUCUAUAAAUAUCAUUUGCUGUUAAUUUCUUGGCUUAUAUUGGUGAUGGCUUCGGCAGUUGGGCUUGAUGACCUCAAAGCUCUUUUUCAGCGCAAAUGAUUCACUCAUUCUUUAUUAUUUUACAGGUUUUCCAGUAGAUGGAAUCAGUGGUCACAGGCAGAAUUUGCUGUAAGUAGGAGAAAGGAUUUUCACUCAGGCUUAAAAGACGCCAAAACCUGUUGGUUUUACCUGCAGAGGUGUGUGAAACUUCUGAGCAGCUGUUCUUGUACAUCUUGAAAUGCAGCAACUGUGUGAAGAUCUGCUGCUCCCUGUUUCAAAGGCCUAACCAAGAGUGUUCUGAGGUAAUCCAAAAGCUCUUUGUGGGUGAGAGGAGAUGCAGAUUCAGUUGCAAACUCCAGGAAA